UAUGGGUCUUCUGACCAUCAUAAACACAUUUGAAAUACAUGUACUCCUAACAAAAGAAAAACUACCAACUUCAAUUUGAGACUUUUUCCUGAAGCCAGAAGGGAUGGCAGUGUUUUAAAAUGGGAAGAGGCAAUUUUUGAAAAUCCCAGAAACAGAAUUCCUCUACUUUACCGAAACUGUUUCCUGGAUGGAGUCAGGCUAGAGGCGGCCUGCCAGGGAGAUAGAGUCCUUCCCACACCAAGAAUAUUAUCCUGAGUGAAGAAACCUGACAAGAGCAGGUCUGAGGCAUGAAGACAUGUACAUAGAUGGAGUCUCUAAGGGCCUUUGGGAAAUGAUUGAGAAUUAAAAUAAAGGGAUGGAACUGGAGGAGAUUGUGCUGAGAAAAAUAAAUCAGGAGGACAAAAAAUGGGUGAUUUAAUCAUAAUUGGAAUAUAAAGAAACAAAACAAAGGAACAGACAAGUUACAGUAAGAAGACAAUUGUCUAUCAGGAAGUAUGUCUUCACUGGACUCUGGAUCUGCCAAUACCAUGAUGUUAGAUUGUUCAAUCUUCAGAACUGUGAGAAAUAAAUGUUGU
Talpa occidentalis (Iberian mole) is the source of this 575-nucleotide long non-coding RNA. RefSeq lists it as uncharacterized. The transcript has 4 exons. Lineage: Eukaryota; Metazoa; Chordata; Mammalia; Eulipotyphla; Talpidae. The record is from RefSeq and is a predicted model, not a curated record.